UUCGCAAUGCCCGAAAGGGUGACGAAGCGACGCCGCGUGCGGGAAGAAGGCCUUCGGGUUGUAAACCGCUGUCGGGAGUUAAGAAAUGCAAGGAUGUUAACAGCGUUCUUGCUUGACUAAGGCUCCGGAGGAAGCCACGGCUAACUCUGUGCCAGCAGCCGCGGUAAUACAGAGGCGGCAAGCGUUGUUCGGAAUUAUUGGGCGUAAAGAGCACGUAGGCGGCUAUGUAAGUCGGUUGUGAAAGCCUUCCGCUCAACGGAAGAACAGCAUCCGAUACUGCAUAGCUUGAGUGCGGGAGGGGAGAGUGGAACUUCUGGUGGAGCGGUGAAAUGCGUAGAUAUCAGAAGGAACGCCGGCGGCGAAAGCGACUCUCUGGCCCGUAACUGACGCUGAGUGUGCGAAAGCUAGGGGAGCAAACGGGAUUAGAUACCCCGGUAGUCCUAGCCGUAAACGAUGGGCACUAAGUAGAGGGGUUUU
RNAcentral lists this ribosomal RNA (477 nucleotides) under uncultured bacterium. RNAcentral describes it as "bacterial SSU rRNA". It matches the Rfam family "Bacterial small subunit ribosomal RNA", at positions 365 to 832 of the family's 1533-position model. The record is from RNAcentral.